GGAUUGUGGCUCAGCGGUAGAGCGCUCGCCUAGCAUAGACAGGACCUGGGUUCGAUCCUCAGCACCA
This 67-nucleotide transfer RNA is filed under the name Marmota monax (woodchuck). Its description in RNAcentral is "tRNA.Ala". The record is from RNAcentral. Lineage: Eukaryota; Metazoa; Chordata; Mammalia; Rodentia; Sciuridae.